GAUGAACGCUGGCGGCGUGCCUAAUACAUGCAAGUCGAGCGAACAGACGCGGAGCUUGCUCCUCUGACGUUAGCGGCGGACGGGUGAGUAACACGUGGAUAACCUACCUAUAUGACUGGGAUAACUUCGGGACACCGGAGCUAAUACCGGAUAAUAUAUUGAACCGCAUGGUUCAAUAGUGAAAGACGGUUUUGCUGUCACUUAUAGAUGGAUCCGCGCCGCAUUAGCUAGUUGGUAAGGUAACGGCUUAUCAAGGCAACGAUGCGUAGCCGACCUGAGAGGGUGAUAGGCCACACGGGAACGGAGACACGGUCCAGACGCCUAAGGGAGGCAGCAGUAGGGAAUCGUCCGCAAUGGGCGAAAGCUUGACGGAGCAACGCCGCGUGUGUGAUGAAGGUCUUCGGAUCGUAAAGCUCUGUUAUUAGGGAAGAACAAAUGUGUAAGUAACUAUGCACGUCUUGACGGUACCUGAUCAGAAAGCCACGGCUAACUACGUG
Molecule: ribosomal RNA, 497 nt
Filed under: uncultured bacterium
Lineage: Bacteria
Description: partial 16S ribosomal RNA
Rfam family: Bacterial small subunit ribosomal RNA
Source: RNAcentral